RNAcentral lists this non-coding RNA (155 nucleotides) under Clostridium sp. BL8. RNAcentral describes it as "Bacterial small subunit ribosomal RNA". It matches the Rfam family "Bacterial small subunit ribosomal RNA", at positions 1381 to 1533 of the family's 1533-position model. The record is from Rfam by way of RNAcentral. Lineage: Bacteria; Bacillati; Bacillota; Clostridia; Eubacteriales; Clostridiaceae.
UCAGACACACCGCCCGUCACACCAUGAGAGCUGGUAACACCCGAAGUCCGUGAGGUAACCCGCAAGGGAGCCAGCGGCCGAAGGUGGGAUUAGUGAUUGGGGUGAAGUCGUAACAAGGUAGCCGUAGGAGAACCUGCGGCUGGAUCACCUCCUUU